CGAGUUCCCGUACGAUCACCGAAGUUAAGCAACGUUGAGCCUUGUUAGUACCUAGUUGGGCAACCGCUUGGAAAUACCAGGUGCUGUAA
This 89-nucleotide ribosomal RNA is filed under the name Acanthosepion pharaonis. The record is from RNAcentral. Lineage: Eukaryota; Metazoa; Mollusca; Cephalopoda; Sepiida; Sepiidae.